GGAGAAUUUGGUUUUGGUUUUGAUUUGGCUUGUGCUAGCGAUAACACAUGAUAGUUUUGUUUGAAACUGUAAGUUAUGUAUCUAUCUUUUUGGCUCUUAAAGAGGUUAGUCAGAUGGGUUUGUUAUUAUCAAAGAUAUUGAUGACAGAAAUAUUUACAACAUCAGUGUAGAAUAUUAAUCAAAAAGGGAACUUUGUAUUAGGCAGGGCUAAUAAAGGUAGCUAAAUUUGUGCCAGCAGCUGCGGUUAAACAAUAAGCUUAAGUCAAAUAAAAGCGGUAAAAAAUAGUUAUGUGAUUAAAAGUCAUUUUUUGUAUUAUAUAAAGGUAGAAUUUUAAUAUAAAUGCAGAGUUAAUUUGUGGCUAUGUGCAGAAUCUGUGAAGCUUUUAGUUAAAACUGGGAUUAGAUACCCCAUUAUUAGGAAAUUAAAUUUGUUUACCUGGGGAUUACGAGCUAUAGCUUAAAAUCCAAAAGACUUGGCGGUACUUUAAUUUCCGUCCAGGGGAACCUGUCCUUUAAAUCGAUAAUCCACGUUAAACCUUACUUUACUUAUUUAUUUAAUUAGCUUGUAUACUGCCGUCAUCAGCUUACGCUUGAGGCUAAUAAAGUUGGCUUUUUAAUUUAGUAUUUUUAUGUCAGGUCAAAGUGCAGCUUAUGGUAAAGUAGUGAUGGGUUACAAUUUAAAUUCGAAUUUCUGUAGUUUUAUUGCAAUAAAGAAUGAACGGUGGACUUGGAAGUAAUAUUUAUUUAGAAUAAUAAUAUGAAUGUGGUUACUAAAGUGUGUACAUAUCGCCCGUCGCUCUCUUAAAAAUAAGAGAUAAGUCGUAACAUAGUAGGGGUAGCUGAAGCUGUUCCUUAGGAUAUA
Molecule: non-coding RNA, 862 nt
Organism: Liolophura sinensis
Lineage: Eukaryota; Metazoa; Mollusca; Polyplacophora; Chitonida; Chitonidae
Source: the annotation of a RefSeq genome assembly